CUUUCGGGCUGAGUAGAGCGGCGGACGGGUGAGUAACGCGUAGGAAUCUACCUGGUAGUGGGGGACAACUUGGGGAAACUCAAGCUAAUACCGCAUACGCCCUAAGGGGGAAAGCGGGGGACCUUCGGGCCUCGCGCUAUCGGAUGAGCCUGCGUAGGUUAGCUAGUUGGUGGGGUAAAGGCCCACCAAGGCGACGAUCCUUAGCUGGUCUGAGAGGAUGAUCAGCCACACUGGAACUGAGACACGGUCCAGACUCCUACGGGAGGCAGCAGUGGGGAAUAUUGCGCAAUGGGCGAAAGCCUGACGCAGCCAUGCCGCGUGUGUGAAGAAGGCCUUAGGGUUGUAAAGCACUUUCAAUUGGGAAGAAAAGUUUGUCGUUAAUAGCGCCAAGCUCUGACAUUACCUUUAGAAGAAGCACCGGCUAACUCCGUGCCAGCAGCCGCGGUAAUACGGAGGGUGCGAGCGUUAAUCGGAAUUACUGGGCGUAAAGCGCGCGUA
RNAcentral lists this ribosomal RNA (498 nucleotides) under uncultured Haliea sp. RNAcentral describes it as "bacterial SSU rRNA". It matches the Rfam family "Bacterial small subunit ribosomal RNA", at positions 78 to 573 of the family's 1533-position model. The record is from RNAcentral. Lineage: Bacteria; Pseudomonadati; Pseudomonadota; Gammaproteobacteria; Cellvibrionales; Halieaceae.